Mus musculus (house mouse) is the source of this 1949-nucleotide RNA transcript. It is a transcript of the gene named sirtuin 7, with no coding region annotated. Lineage: Eukaryota; Metazoa; Chordata; Mammalia; Rodentia; Muridae. The record is from RefSeq and is marked validated. The transcript is spliced from 12 exons.
GCGGAAGCGGAAGCCGGAAGCGCAGUCAAAGGAGCGAUGGCAGCCGGUGGCGGUCUGAGCCGCUCGGAGCGCAAAGCUGCUGAGCGGGUCCGGAGGCUGCGGGAGGAGCAGCAGCGGGAGCGCCUCCGCCAGGUGUCACGCAUCCUGAGGAAGGCGGCUGCAGAGCGCAGCGCGGAGGAGGGCCGGCUCUUGGCCGAGAGCGAGGAUCUGGUGACCGAGCUGCAGGGUCGAAGUCGGCGGCGUGAGGGCCUCAAGCGCCGCCAGGAGGAGGUGUGUGAUGACCCGGAGGAGCUGCGGAGGAAGGUCCGCGAACUGGCCGGAGCUGUCCGAAGUGCCAGGCACUUGGUUGUCUACACGGGCGCUGGAAUCAGCACAGCAGCUUCUAUCCCAGAUUAUCGGGGUCCUAAUGGAGUAUGGACACUGCUUCAGAAAGGAAGGCCUGUGAGUGCUGCCGACCUAAGCGAAGCGGAGCCUACCCUCACCCACAUGAGCAUCACCCGUUUGCAUGAGCAAAAGCUGGUGCAACACGUGGUGUCUCAGAACUGUGAUGGGCUCCACCUGCGGAGUGGGUUGCCCCGGACCGCCAUCUCAGAGCUCCAUGGGAAUAUGUAUAUUGAAGUCUGCACCUCCUGCAUCCCUAACAGAGAGUAUGUACGAGUGUUUGAUGUGACUGAGCGUACUGCCCUUCACCGACACCUGACAGGCCGGACCUGCCACAAGUGCGGGACCCAGCUUCGGGAUACCAUUGUGCACUUUGGGGAGAGGGGGACAUUAGGGCAGCCUCUGAACUGGGAGGCAGCGACCGAGGCUGCUAGCAAAGCAGACACAAUCCUGUGUUUAGGGUCCAGCUUGAAGGUACUAAAGAAAUAUCCCCGCCUCUGGUGCAUGACGAAGCCUCCAAGCCGUCGACCCAAACUCUACAUCGUGAACCUGCAGUGGACCCCGAAGGAUGACUGGGCUGCCCUGAAACUCCAUGGGAAGUGUGAUGAUGUCAUGCAACUCCUCAUGAAUGAACUGGGCCUGGAGAUUCCUGUCUACAACCGGGUCUUAUAGGGGAAAUCAAUAACUUCUUUUAAUCAAAGGGUUCAAGAAAUUAAGGAUCCCUUCACCUCUGGGCCUGGCAAUUCUUCUCCCACCAACAGUGGGUGAGACAGAAGAGGCUGUCGAGCGAGGGCUGCUGCUGCCCUGAAGACUUUCCCCUGCAGCUUGGUGUCCCCUGCAGCUUGGUGUCACUGACGCUGCUUCCAGCCAAAGCCCAGAUUAAGACAUAGGUGGCAGGAUCCAAUCUUCUCCUUGGCGACCCCCCUCCGUGCUGGUGAAGAAGGCAGCCACAGUAGGAAGUCACUAUGCAGAAGCAGAGAAGAAGCCCCACCUGGGGACCAGAGUGACCCCCUUGCCUCAGCUCCCCCUAUCCUAGGAGGCUGGUUUGGCAGGGGUUGUGCCAAGCGUGCAAAAAGGAAGAAAGUGGCAUAGCCCGGAGUUGACAAAGAACAGUUGGCACUUUGCAGAUGGCUUGACCCUUGUUCAGGGGCUCCGCCCGUGUCGCCGUGAAGGCGAGAGUGCCCCCUCCGGCUCUAGUGGGUGCCGGCUUCGCGGUGACGGUCGUCUUUAGCCAUUUGUCCUUGUGGAAAGGCUCUCUUGCACUGCUGUGACUGCCCCGCUAUGGGCUUGAUCUUCAAGGACACCUCCCUCCUGUUCACCCCUGUACAAAGGUGGCAGCAAGGCCUCUGUGAGAAGAGCUCCGGCCCUUCCCAGGCCUGGCCAGCAGGAGAGUCCACCACUGCCUUACCUCACUCUCCAGGCUAGUCUCAGGGCCUCCCUCUUUCUACUCCUUAUCACGUACAAGUGUUCACUUUAUAGAAGCCUUUUUCUGUAUUGGGUAUGCGGCACAGGGAGAAUCUAACUAAGCCUCCAGUCUGAGCAAGUCUUAUUAAACAUCUCUCAAUUGC